RNAcentral lists this ribosomal RNA (238 nucleotides) under uncultured bacterium. Its description in RNAcentral is "partial 16S ribosomal RNA". It matches the Rfam family "Bacterial small subunit ribosomal RNA", at positions 335 to 554 of the family's 1533-position model. The record is from RNAcentral.
ACUCCUACGGGAGGCAGCAGUGGGGAAUAUUGCACAAUGGGGGAAACCCUGAUGCAGCCAUGCCGCGUGUGUGAAGAAGGCCUUCNGGGUUUGUAAAAUGCACUUUGCAGUAGGGAGGAAGGUAGUGUAGUUAAUCACCGUGNCAUUUAUUUUGACGUUACCUACAGAAGAAGCANCCGGCUAACUCCGUGCCAGCAGCCGCGGUAAUACGGAGGGUGCGAGCGUCAGUCGCAAGUAU